RNAcentral lists this long non-coding RNA (432 nucleotides) under Equus caballus (horse). RNAcentral's name for it is "lncRNA (ENSECAG00000047178.1)". The record is from RNAcentral. Lineage: Eukaryota; Metazoa; Chordata; Mammalia; Perissodactyla; Equidae.
GACCAGGCAGCAAAGACUACAUCCAAGAUCUUGCCACUGGAACUAUCCAUCGGGGAUGCCACUGUGUCGCUGCCACCAGCAUGGCUGACAAGUGGUGUAGGUCCGUGCCUGGGAUCCAAACCUGUGAACCUGUGCUGCAAAGCAGAGCAUGCCGAAUUUAACCACUAUGCCACGGGGUUGGCUCCAAGAUAGAUGAGCAGAUUUCAAUUGUGAACUUGCAAAGGCCCUGUUUCUGCAUAUGGACCUGUAUCUGCAUCACAGGGACGCUCAACGACAUAGAAACACACCAGGGGCUCGCUACUGUUAAAAAGAAAAGCAAAGAGAAGAAGAUGGGCUGCUCCCAUGCCUGCUCUUAUGGGAAUCGAUUACUCUACCACCUCAGUUCAGAAACACAGACGCAGAAUUGAAGUCCAUCUACAACCCAAGGGAAAG